This is a long non-coding RNA of Mustela erminea (ermine), 331 nucleotides long. RefSeq lists it as uncharacterized. NCBI's taxonomy places the organism in Eukaryota, Metazoa, Chordata, Mammalia, Carnivora, Mustelidae. The transcript is spliced from 3 exons. The record is from RefSeq and is a predicted model, not a curated record.
AGCCACCAUCUCAGCCUUGGGUCUGGCAUUUAGCAUGAUUCCAUAGAGUCUGCAUCACAGCCAGUUCCAUAGUGAUGAUUUUAAAGAGCAGCCUGUUUCUUCAGGAAACUUUUGCGGUUGACCAAGAGGGACACUAAUUCCUUAAAGCCUCCUUAGUCAAGUAUGGCUGAAAGACGCAGACAGGAGUGACUGAGAAAAUUACAGAGAAGUUCUGUGCAAGCUCCCAGGACUGGGAACAACACUGCAGCUCGGAUUUUUUUGUGACUUUCAGAUAGGGAUUUCCCAGGAUGUCUCAAGGAGGCAGGCUGUGACUAAGACAGGCCUAUUAGCC